Molecule: ribosomal RNA, 468 nt
Filed under: uncultured bacterium
Lineage: Bacteria
Description: partial 16S ribosomal RNA
Rfam family: Bacterial small subunit ribosomal RNA
Source: RNAcentral
GACGAACGCUGGCGGCGUGCUUAACACAUGCAAGUCGAACGGAAAGGCCCUGCUUUUGUGGGGUUCUCGAGUGGCGAACGUGUGUGUAACACGUGAGUAACCUGCCCUUGACUUUGUGAUAACUUCAGGAAACUGGUGCUAAUACCUGAUAGGAGCUCCUGCUGCAUGGUGGGGGUUGGAAAUUUUCGUCGGUUGGGGAUGGACUCGCGGGUUAUCAGCUUGUUGGUUGGGUAGUGGCUUACCAAGGAUUUGAAGGGUAGGCGGCCUGAGAGGGUUACCGGACACAUUGGGACUGAGAUAGGGAGCAGACUCGUACGGGAGGCAGCAGUGGGGAAUAUUGCACAAUGGGCGGAAGCGUGAGGAAGAAACGCAGGGUGCGGGAUGACGGCCUUCGGGUUGUAAACAGCAUUAGGCUGUGACGAAGCGUGAGUGACGGUAAUGGGUAAAGAAGCACCGGCUAACUACGUG